This 111-nucleotide non-coding RNA is filed under the name Sphingobium cupriresistens. Its description in RNAcentral is "Sphingobium czechense TPP sequence". It matches the Rfam family "TPP riboswitch aptamer (THI element)". From Rfam's summary of the family: Vitamin B(1) in its active form thiamin pyrophosphate (TPP) is an essential coenzyme that is synthesised by coupling of pyrimidine and thiazole moieties in bacteria. Lineage: Bacteria; Pseudomonadati; Pseudomonadota; Alphaproteobacteria; Sphingomonadales; Sphingobiaceae. The record is from RNAcentral. RNAcentral also lists the same sequence under 1 other name.
CCAGCAUCCCCGGGGGACCGUCCAUAGACGGUUGAGAGGCGGUUGAUUGGACCGCGACCCGUUGAACCUGAUCUGGUUGAGACCGGCGUAGGGAGGGACGGCUUGUUGGAC